UGGCGAUGAUUACAUAUUUAUCCGCGCUUCAGAGGUUAAACAAUGAAGCAAGACUAAAUAAAUGGUUGAAUUUCUUAGUAUGAGCAA
Molecule: non-coding RNA, 87 nt
Organism: Cucumis sativus (cucumber)
Lineage: Eukaryota; Viridiplantae; Streptophyta; Magnoliopsida; Cucurbitales; Cucurbitaceae
Source: Rfam